RNAcentral lists this unclassified non-coding RNA (19 nucleotides) under Mus musculus (house mouse). RNAcentral's name for it is "oocyte_clustered_small_RNA7947". The record is from RNAcentral. Lineage: Eukaryota; Metazoa; Chordata; Mammalia; Rodentia; Muridae.
GCCCGGCUUGGCUCAAUAU